CCUACGGGAGGCAGCAGUGGGGAAUAUUGCACAAUGGGGGAAACCCUGAUGCAGCGACGCCGCGUGCGUGAAGAAGUAUUUCGUUAUGUAAAGCUCUAUCAGCAGGGAAGAAAAUGACGGUACCUGAGUAAGAAGCCCCGGCUAAGUACGUGCCAGCAGCCGCGGUAAUACGUCGGGGGCCAGCGUUAUCCGGAUUUACUGGGUGUAAAGGGAGCGUAGGCGGCAGUGCAAGUCUGGAGUGAAAGGCGGGGGAUCAACCCCCGGACUGCUCUGGAAACUGUACGACUGGAGUGCAGGUGCGGUAAGUGGAAUGCAUGGUGUAGCGGUGAAAUGCGUAGAGAUUA
Molecule: ribosomal RNA, 344 nt
Filed under: uncultured bacterium
Lineage: Bacteria
Description: partial 16S ribosomal RNA
Rfam family: Bacterial small subunit ribosomal RNA
Source: RNAcentral